This 73-nucleotide transfer RNA is filed under the name Dipodomys ordii (Ord's kangaroo rat). It matches the Rfam family "tRNA". Rfam says of the family: Transfer RNA (tRNA) molecules are approximately 80 nucleotides in length. Their secondary structure includes four short double-helical elements and three loops (D, anti-codon, and T loops). Further hydrogen bonds mediate the characteristic L-shaped molecular structure. tRNAs have two regions of fundamental functional importance: the anti-codon, which is responsible for specific mRNA codon recognition, and the 3' end, to which the tRNAs corresponding amino acid is attached (by aminoacyl-tRNA synthetases). tRNAs cope with the degeneracy of the genetic code in two manners: having more than one tRNA (with a specific anti-codon) for a particular amino acid; and 'wobble' base-pairing, i.e. permitting non-standard base-pairing at the 3rd anti-codon position. The record is from Rfam by way of RNAcentral. Lineage: Eukaryota; Metazoa; Chordata; Mammalia; Rodentia; Heteromyidae.
GAUGGUAUGACUCAGGUGGUAGAGUGCUUGCCUAGAAAGCACAAAAACCUGAGUUCAAAUUCUAGUACUUUCA